AACGAACGCUGGCGGCAUGCCUAACACAUGCAAGUCGAACGAGACCUUCGGGUCUAGUGGCGCACGGGUGCGUAACGCGUGGGAACCUGCCUUUAGGUUCGGAAUACCUCAGAGAAAUUUGUGCUAAUACCGGAUGUUGUCUUCGGACCAAAGAUCUAUCGCCUUUCGAUGGGACCGCGUUGCAUUAGCUAGUUGGUGGGGUAAAGGCCUACCACGGCGACGAUCCAUAGCUGGUCUGAGAGGAUGAUCAGCCACACUGGGACUGCGACACGGCCCAGACUCCUACGGGACGCAGCAGUGAGGAAUAUUGCACUAUGGGCGAAAGCCUGAUCCAGCAAUGCCGCGAGAGUGAUGAAGGCCUUAGGGUUGUAAAGCGCUUUUACCCGAGAUGAUAAUGACAGUAUCGGGAGGAUAAGCUCCGGCUAACUCCGUG
RNAcentral lists this ribosomal RNA (433 nucleotides) under uncultured bacterium. RNAcentral's name for it is "partial 16S ribosomal RNA". It matches the Rfam family "Bacterial small subunit ribosomal RNA", at positions 29 to 507 of the family's 1533-position model. The record is from RNAcentral.